This 1497-nucleotide long non-coding RNA is filed under the name Pan troglodytes (chimpanzee). RNAcentral describes it as "lincRNA". The record is from RNAcentral. Lineage: Eukaryota; Metazoa; Chordata; Mammalia; Primates; Hominidae.
AUGGGAGAAGUGCGAGGUGUGGACACGGGCAACCCUGCCAUGAGAUGGAGGUCUCUGAAUGUCGAAAGCGAGUGAUCUGCAGAUGGACAGUGCCCACGGGGCAGUCAGCCUUUAAGGGCAGUGUGGGAACAUGCAAAGAACAGGACCCCAGGCUCCCGUUGCAACCAGAAUACCAUCAGAGCUCCUCUGGAACAUGUCCUUGUCUUCUCAGAGUGUGAAGUGUGUGUGUGACAGUGCUUUUCUGAGGACUCAGGUGACCUGGAGGCUGGAGAACAGCAUGGAGCAAGGAAAACAAAGACGAUGUGCUGGAGUGUAUGUUGCUUUCAUAAUUAUGUGAAAGAAAAUGUAGAGAAAUUUGAAAGGAGAACUGGUUAUCAGUAGUGCCAUCCUCCCCAAAUAUCUUCAAAUACACACCACCAUCCAUGUGUGGGUUGAUUAAGGAGCUGACGUUCAUUAGAUUUGCAGUCUCCUGACCUGAUAUGCAUCAGAAUCACUGGGAGAACAAACAAACAAAAAUGAAUCCAAAACAAGCAACAAACAGACAGAUUCUCAAGUCUUGCCAAGUCCAAAGAUUGAUUUGGUGGAGAAAUUGUACUUUGAAAGCUGCCCAGGCCUUCAUGAAUGCCACAGUGGAUCUACUCUGCCCUCCUCUUGCCAUCAUCACCCUCCCCAGGAGCUGGAAAUCAUGAGCUUUAUUUCAAGAUCCAGCCAUGUGAUUAUAGAUGGCUGUGUGGUCUUGGAGCUUCAGUCUCAUCAUCUGCAAAGUGGGGACGAUGCUUUCCUAUACAUUUUACAGAACUGUCUGGUUCAAAGCAACAUGUGUAAAAGGUCUUAUUUAAUUACUUAUCAAAGGUUAGUGCACUAUAGAAAUGUGAGAGGCUUCAGUUAGACCCAGCAGUUUCUUAGAAGUUCAAAGAGUUACAUAAUUAAAAGUUGGUUAAUAAAUGAUUAAUUUGGCAAAAUAUUUGAGGUAGUGUUUUACUUUCCCAAAGUGAUCACAUUGAUUAUUUCUGUUUUCUCGUCAUAAUAACAGGAUUGGCCACGCAGUAAGGUGGUACAGGCAUAAUAUUCAUUUUCUUUUUUUUUUUUUAACUAGCUAGUAAAAGGUAAGAAAACAUUUAUUGGAGCAUGUGCACCUGGUGUCAAUUUUUUCUCCCAACAUUAUAUUAUGAAGUUUUCAAAUAAGUAGAAAAGUUGAAUGAAAGACUCUCUACCAAGAUCACCUACAAACCCAACCCACCAUCUAAAUCCUACCGUUAGCAUUUUACUACUUGAUUUAUUGCCAAUCUGCUCAUAUAUCUAUCCUUCCAUCCAUUCAUUAAUCCUUCUUACUUUUGGGAUACAUUUCAAGGUUACUUGCAGGCAUCAGUAAACUUUCCCUUAACUGGUGAAACAGCAUGGAUAUCAUUAACUGGAAUUUGACAUCUUCUUAGAGUACUUUUUUUUCUUGUUUAUGUAAAUGGGGUCUAAUUUAAUGUUAUAAAAAUUAUGGCAGAG